GGAACUGUGAGAUAUAAACAAUAGUGAAUAGAUUUUAAAGUGUUAUAUCUUUCUCCUCAGGUUGAUCCUCCAGAAUAUGCCUUUUCAAACUGUUCUCUAAAACCAUGAAGAAUAUAAACGCAUAUUUACAGGCAAAAUAAAAUAGUGUAAAGAUUCCUCAGAUUCCUGGUCUACAUGGCCACAUAUAACACAUACUGGUAGAAAGACAACUGGAAGAUGAAGUCACUCAUAUUUGAUAACCUGGACUAAUGGUCAGAGUACUUAUUCUGGAACAUGUUCAGAUUCUGGGACCUCUGUGAUGAGACACACAUCUCUUUGAAGCAGCCUAAAGGAAAGGCUGUGGGGAAGCUCCCACUCCUUUUGGAUUGAUCACAAGGGUGAAGAUUCACAUGACCAAAGCAGGAGUAAGAGGAAAUGUGAUUCUGUACCUUAUCCAGAGAGUCCACUCCACUGGAGACAUUUUUCAAACACUGAUGGAAGAAUACUUAACCAUUCAGAUGUGUUUGCACCCUGUGGCACCACGGCUAAAAGGACAACCACACACAGGUAUUGAUUAAAAAGGUGAACAUCUCUCACCAUUGUGACAAUCCAAGGAAACAAAAAUGCUUCACUGUGGAAGUUCAAUAAAAAUUCUGUUCAGCAUACA
RNAcentral lists this long non-coding RNA (646 nucleotides) under Anser brachyrhynchus (Pink-footed goose). Its description in RNAcentral is "lncRNA (ENSABRG00000000513.1)". The record is from RNAcentral. Lineage: Eukaryota; Metazoa; Chordata; Aves; Anseriformes; Anatidae.